Molecule: long non-coding RNA, 1678 nt
Organism: Astatotilapia calliptera (eastern happy)
Lineage: Eukaryota; Metazoa; Chordata; Actinopteri; Cichliformes; Cichlidae
Source: Ensembl
GCAGGUCUCCCACAUGUUUGUGAUUUUCUCUUUAUUCAUGUUUUUAGUAAAUGUGCGUGACCUUCAGAGCCACCGUACUGCAGUGACAGCCUUCAGAGUAUAAUCCCAGUGUCCAGAUUACAGGCCGGCGUCUUUGCUCUGAAUGUUUCUCUGCGAUUCAUUUUCUGACAGCAGGAGAGUCUUUGUAGCGUCAGCGUGCCAUCAGGCAGAUGAAUGAGGCUAAACGUUUUCUUUAUCUGCCCCCCCGACACGCUCGGCAUGAUGGGAGGCGAUACGGCGUGGAGGGUUGGAGGCGUGAGGACGGGGGAGAGGUGAACGGCCAAUCAGCACCUGAGCGAACACCUGAGCAGAACUGUGCGGCGUUUCCGGCGCAGACGGCCAGGCGGACACUUCCCGCGCUGCUUUUUAAAAGCUGAAGGUGAGCAUCCCCUGCAGGCCAAGCCUUCCCUCAGCAGUCGCUCUACCUGGGGCAUGGUGGGAGCUCGCAGACCGCCUCCCGCCUCUGAAGCUGCAGCUGUCUGCAUCUCUGCUGGAAGCGGCGCCUCCUGCAGGUGAGCAAGGAAGAGCGCUGUCAACACCUCAGUGGGAGGAGCGUCCUUUAAGCUGAAGCUGAGCUCAGGAUGAAGGAGAGACUUUACAGAGUGUUGGAGCUAUCUGUUCUUUAUUUUUUAUUAUUUUGAAAUUAGUUAAAGUUUGUUGUUAGUUUACUUAUAUUUUGGGGUUUAUUUACAAGUUUAUUUGUAGGUUAAUAUUUGUUUCAAUGUUUUAUUUGUUUGAUUUUACCUUGUUAAAUCAGUCAAUAAGUGUCAUGAUCCUGGGCCAUGUUGGCCCAGUAUUCUUAGUUUCAUGUAUUUUUGUAUUUUGCUCCUUAUUUAGGCCAUGUUUCCUGGGCUGCCCUGUUACGUUGUUCCCUAAGUGUUUUCCCCUUGUGACUCUUACCCCUUGUGUGCCCCUCUGUGUAUUUGUGAGCCCUCGUCUCUCCUUGUGUUUUAUUCCAUGUUUUCCCCAGCCCGUUAUAUCUGUGUUUUCCCCGUGCUCUCUCUCCUCCUGUCUGAACCUCUGUACUUCCUGUUUUACUUUGCCCGUCUCCCGUCAGUGUUGCGUUCACUUCUGCCGUGUCUUGUUAUGAUUAUCAGUGUCAGCUGUGUUCCCCGUGUGCUCCCACUUCCCUCGCUAACCUUCUGUGUAUUUAUGUCUGCGUCUCCCUCAGUUCUGUGUCGCGUUCGCCCUCAUCCAUGGCCGUGUGUUUUUCCGUGUAACAUGUUAUACUUUCCAGUUUAGUUUGUAUGGUUUUUCCGUCCAGCAAUAAAGCUGUGAAGUUUGAGUUAAUUCCUGCCUCCGUGAGUUUGCGAUUGGGUCCUCAUCCAGCCUGCACACAGCCGCAACCAUGACAAUAAGAGCUGUAGGGCCAUUUUGUUUCUAUAAAUAGAGAGACUGGUAUAGGACCAGCAUGCACUGGGGUGAGCCUGUGGUUUUUUACUAGAGCAGGAGAAGCAGCAGGAAGUAACAAAAAAUGGAUCUUGUUAUUGCCAAACUGGAUGAAUAAACCAUAAAAACGCAACUUUAAAGUUUGGACAGUGGACUUCUUUCGCCUGCGUACGAAAUAGUAUCUCAGUGCAGCAGUGGCUUGUGGACUUUUAAUUGUGGGAUGUUUGGUUUGUCAAACAAAAGGAAUUGC